Molecule: ribosomal RNA, 491 nt
Filed under: uncultured bacterium
Lineage: Bacteria
Description: partial 16S ribosomal RNA
Rfam family: Bacterial small subunit ribosomal RNA
Source: RNAcentral
AGUGAACGCUGGCGGUAGGCCUAACACAUGCAAGUCGAACGGCAGCACAGUAAGAGCUUGCUCUUACGGGUGGCGAGUGGCGGACGUGUGAGGAAUACAUCGGAAUCUACUUUUUCGUGGGGGAUAACGUAGGGAAACUUACGCUAAUACCUCAUACGACCUACGGGUGAAGCAGGGGAUCUUCGUACCUUGCGCGAUUGAAUGAGCCGAUGUCGGAUUAGCUAGUUGGCGGGGUAAAGGCCCACCAAGGCGACGAUCCGUAGCUGGUCUGAGAGGAUGAUCAGCGACACUGGAACUGAGAAACGGUCAAGACUCCUACGGGAGGCAGCAGUGGGGAAUAUUGGACAAUAGGCGCAAGCCUGAUCCAGCCGUACCGAGUGGGUGAAGAAGGCCUUCGGGUUGUAAAGACCUUUUGUUGGGAAAGAAAAGCAGCAGGUUAAUACCCCGCUGUUCUGACGGUACCCAAAGAAUAAGCACCGGCUAACUUCGUG